GCGGGCCGGCUCGUAGCAGGAACACAGCCAUUACACGCACGCGAUCCACGGUGCUAGUUCCACCAUAGGCCUGUAAAGCCUGAUGAGGUUACAAAGCCCUGCGGACAGAGCCACGAGCUCUAAAACUUUAUGGAAAAAAAAAAUGGAACAGAAACUUUAAGCACAUGAAGUUUCACACAGGAAAUGAAUCUGAAACUACUGAUACAGCAGACCAAACAGAGAGUGGGGGAUUUCUGCAGAGAAUAUGCUAAAAGCAGAAGUGACAAAGCUGAUGAACAAGCCCACAGAGUGAACACAAAUUUGCAAAACAGGUCCGUGAACUGGUGACUUUCACAAUAAUAAAAUAAAUAAAUAAAUAAUAAAAUAAAAG
Long non-coding RNA from Oxyura jamaicensis (ruddy duck), 370 nucleotides. RefSeq lists it as uncharacterized. The transcript is spliced from 2 exons. NCBI's taxonomy places the organism in Eukaryota, Metazoa, Chordata, Aves, Anseriformes, Anatidae. The record is from RefSeq and is a predicted model, not a curated record.